This is a long non-coding RNA of Herpailurus yagouaroundi (jaguarundi), 2488 nucleotides long. RefSeq lists it as uncharacterized. The record is from RefSeq and is a predicted model, not a curated record. The transcript is spliced from 4 exons. NCBI's taxonomy places the organism in Eukaryota, Metazoa, Chordata, Mammalia, Carnivora, Felidae.
UGGGAAGUGGGAGGGGGGUUGGAGCAGCCUCCGGAAAGCGCCGCCAACUGCACGGGUGCUCUCUUGCCCGGCGCGGCUAAAACGGGCUUGCUCAGAGGGGCCGGAGCUGCUGUUUUGCCGAGUGAAAAUACUUUCUGUAAGUGAUGAAAAAAUUUUCCACUUUAUUCGGUUGUUGGCUGGGGCCCAGUGCAUUGAAGUCCCAGAGUUCUUCGGGGAGGAGCCAGGAGGUUUACUGCAUCCUCCGACCUGUGUUUCGCGGGGAGAAGAGUUAAGAAGCCUGAGCAUUCUAACGCAGCUGGCGGAGCUUGAGAAAGUGACAAAGGCAGAGCUCGUGUGCGUGGCUCGGGGACUGAUGCCCCGCCUCUGAGCCGGGGACCAGAAAUGUGUCCAUUAAGGGACUGGUAAUGGCUGGGUUUAGCCUGGGACGGUUUCCCCAAGGAGGCGAUUUGAGAGGAGGCUGUAGGUGCCCGGCCUGGGACUGGAAGAGCAGUCCGGGAAGGGCCCAGGGGGCGUGGAGGGCGCUCCCACCGGCCACCAGGGGACAGGAGGCAGCAAAGGCGCCAGCAGCCCUCAGAGAUUCGCGGGGCUGUGAACUGCGCAGGGCCUGUGGCUCCUGGUCCCAGCUACAGUCAGCCAAUAAAAGAUACACGCAGGGGACCCCUUCCCUCCCCCCCACCUCCCCCGCCCCCGGAGCCAAUGGAAACCUACGCGCCUGCGGAGGAAUUGCCACCCGCCUGCGGAGGAAACAUUUUCGGACACCUGGCCAAGAGGCUUCCCUUGGGGGUUGCCUUUCCAGGAGCCCAGGACAGGUGUGUAUGAAGGACCAAAAUACCAGGAGCGUGUUCAAUUAGUCAUUCUUUUGGAUCAGAGCGCCUGCUGCUUGUAAAGCCACACACAGGCCAUUACAAACUGUGAGGGGGCGAAGAGCAAAGGCAAGAGGGCAGAGGGGAAGAAACGUGCUUCCUGCCCUGAGCAUCUCAGAGGGGCCUUUCCCCCUGUUGUAUGUCCUGCAUCAUGUUCCCUGCUGUAAAGGUUAGCGUCUUGUAUUUGUGUAAUGCUUUACAGUUUCAAACUGUAUGAUUUAUCUGGUAAUCACUGUAACCUAUAAGACAGGUAUUAUUACUCAUGUUUAACCAGCAGAGGAAGUGAUGCUCAGAUUAGCUAAACCCUACACCCGAAGUGAUACUGCCGUUAGUGAGGGCUGUGGGACUAGUACUCAGUGUUGUGGCUGCAAAUCCAGGGCUCUUUAAAUACAUCAAAGGAAGGAAACCAGGCCUGCUUUAUGAUUCUGGCGCCCAGGACACACCCAACAAUUCGAAUGAAAUCCAGAAGGACUAGGUUAAUUUCUUAGUCAUUGCUCCUUCAGAUCGUCCCCUUGCACCACAGGUGAGCUCCAGUAUUAUACACCUGUGUGUGAAGAAGGGGUUCCAUUGACUCGCUGCCAGGAAAGCCAGUCCUGGAGGUAAGAACAGAACGGGGGGAUGAACACGGGUCACCAGCUGUGGCUCCCUUCCUUAUCCACACUUAAUAGUGCCUGAGAAUCAGCAGAAGGACAGCUCCAUUCACGAGAGCCCAAAAGGGAAGGAAAACCACUGAUGGUAGGCAAAUGCUGUGUUGUGUGUAAGACCUUGGAGGAAUAUAGGGCAGGGAACUGAGAAUGGGUGGGAACUUUUUUUCACUAAAAUAAAAUGAAAGAGUCAGGACUCUAAACCAAGAUAAGGUCAGUGGCUUACAUUUACAUGACUUCUAUUCUGAUCAAUGGACCAUGUUUGCUUCACUGCUUUACUCUCUAGACGUGCACUGUUCCUACAGUAGCCACUAGCCAUGUGUGGAUGCUGAGCCCUGAAAUGUGGCUAGUCCAAAUCGAAAUGUGCUGUCCAUGUAAGAGUCACACUGGAAUUUGAAAGACUUGGGAAAAAGGACACAGCUGUCCCAUCCUGGGCAGGACAGCCGCUGGUCCAUGAGAUGGCUUUAUGCAAACUGAGAAAAGGAAAUCGCUCUGACUGAUGCAGCCUGGCACCCAAGGCCAUGCAAAAUGACUGCAAUUUGCAUGUACUGAAGUGAAAUUCUCAUUUGGUACCUGGAAGGGCAUCCAAGCGUAACAGAAUGUGGCAUCGGGCAUCAGGCGGGAAAUAAAAAUGCCCAGUAACCAAGACUGCUGUUGACAGAUUUUAACGACUCACAAGAGGAAUGAGGCUGCCUUGGGAUAUCAGGAUGUGCUCUGAGAAGUGGCUGACAGGAAGCGUAACUUCACAUUGCUUCCCUGCAUAUCCCGGAAGGGACAGGGUUCCAAGCAGGAAAGAUCACGAGUCAUGGCCAUAGGCCACCCAUGUCUUGGGAGGUCUGGAAGAUUCCCUUGCUCAGGGGAAGGGGGCCUCAUGGAUCAAAGAGUGACGUUCCCAACUUGGGUUCCUCUAGGCCAGCUACAAUCUGUCACUGGGAAUCUGGACGUCAUUAAGAUAAUAAAAUGAUGUUCGUGGAAACAUUA